RNAcentral lists this ribosomal RNA (253 nucleotides) under uncultured bacterium. RNAcentral describes it as "partial 16S ribosomal RNA". It matches the Rfam family "Bacterial small subunit ribosomal RNA", at positions 524 to 776 of the family's 1533-position model. The record is from RNAcentral.
UACGACGGGGGCUAGCGUUGCUCGGAAUUACUGGGCGUAAAGCGCACGUAGGCGGCUUUCUAAGUCGGGGGUGAAAUCCUGGAGCUCAACUCCAGAACUGCCUUCGAUACUGGAAAGCUCGAGUCCGGGAGAGGUGAGUGGAACUGCGAGUGUAGAGGUGAAAUUCGUAGAUAUUCGCAAGAACACCAGUGGCGAAGGCGGCUCACUGGCCCGGUACUGACGCUGAGGUGCGAAAGCGUGGGGAGCAAACAGG